UCUCCGUUGGUGAACCAGCGGAGGGAUCAUUACAGGAUCGAAAGACUCCUAUAACCCCUGUGAACUUACUACAAAUACGUUGCUUCGGCGGGUGCCCCGGGUCUCCCGGGGCGUUCAGCCCGCCGGCAGCCUUCAAAUUCUGUUUCUUUGCGUUGGCAUCUCGAGCAUACAAAAAUAAGUUAAAACUUUCAACAACGGAUCUCUUGGUUCUG
This 212-nucleotide unclassified non-coding RNA is filed under the name plant metagenome. RNAcentral's name for it is "partial contains small subunit ribosomal RNA, internal transcribed spacer 1, and 5.8S ribosomal RNA". The record is from RNAcentral.